This 976-nucleotide ribosomal RNA is filed under the name Hemicyclops ctenidis. RNAcentral's name for it is "partial 28S ribosomal RNA". It matches the Rfam family "Eukaryotic large subunit ribosomal RNA", at positions 65 to 947 of the family's 3401-position model. Lineage: Eukaryota; Metazoa; Arthropoda; Copepoda; Poecilostomatoida; Clausidiidae. The record is from RNAcentral.
ACAACUGUGAUGCCCUUAGUAAUGGCGAAUGAAACGGGCACAGCCCAGCGUCGAACCGCCGGCUCUCGUUGGUCGCGCGGAAUGUGACGUUUGGGAGCGUCGCUUGAUGAGUAGAACAACCAGUCCAAGUCCACCUUGACUGGGGCCAUGGUCCGUAGAGGGUGAUAGGCCCGUAAGACGGUUGAUCUGCUCUCAUGGCGUUUCCCUAGAGUCGAGUUGCUUGGGAGUGCAGCUCAAAGUGCGAGGUAAACUCCUCGUAAGGCUAAAUAUGACCCAGAGACCGAUAGCGAACAAGUACCGUGAGGGAAAGUUGAAAAGAACUUUGAAGAGAGAGUUCAAUAGUACGUGAAACUGUGUAGUGGUAAACGGAGGGGUUCCUCGAAGUCGUCUCGGAGGUUCAAGUUGACGUCGGCGCUGUGCAGGGGGUGGCUGAUCCGCAAGGACUCUGCCCUUUGCAUCGGCGUCGCCGGCGGCUGCACUUCUCCGGGACUUUGUGCGACGAACCGCUGGUGGUGCACCAUGGCCCUGGGUAGAGUUCUGGGCUUGCCCUGAAUCCCGGGUGCUUGGCUGCGCCGCCGGCGCGCAUUGAGUGGUCUCGUAUAGCGAGCAAUUUCCUAUUGCGGGCCGCUUCUCUGUCGCGAGUAGGUCGGCGGCCCCUCCGACCCGUCUUGAAACACGGACCAAGGAGUCUAACAUGUGUGCGAGUCAUUGGGCUUACUAAACCCAAGGGCGCAGUGAAAGCAAAGGGUACUUGUACCUGAGGGGUGAUCCUUAACCGGCGCAGCCCCCUCGCUUCGCAUCGACCUCGUAUCGUGCGGAGCAGAUAGAGCACACACGUUGGGACCCGAAAGAUGGUGAACUAUGCCUGGCCAGGUUGAAGUCAGGGGAAACCCUGGUGGAGGACCGUAGCGAUUCUGACGUGCAAAUCGAUCGUCGGAGCUGGGUAUAGGGGCGAAAGACUAAUCGAACCAUCUAG